CUUAAGGUAAAUUUAAUAUUUCUAUGCAUAAGGCAUUGUAUACGGAAGUCAUUUGAUGUUGUUUACAUUGCUUAGGAUACAAUUUAUCUAAUUAGAGACUUGAAAGAGGGACUUGCUGGACCCUUAGGGAUUGGAAAGGAUCUCUGGUACCUCAACACGAAACGAUUGACACGACGAAGAACCGGGAACUGCAACCGGAACGCCGCGAGGCCGCGGACUUAACUGCCUGGCGAUCGACGGACGCUGAGCGCUUUAAACGGAACGGAAUCUCGGACGGAAUCCACUGAACACUGAACGCUGAACAUGAACGCGAUCUCAAGAAGCUCCUCCGAUGUCCGCUGGGCUCGCCAAUUGAACAGAAAUCGGCACAACCCCCAAUACUCUCUUUGGGUAUUUCAAAUGACCAAGUAAAUGAUUUUGUUAUUGCUCAACUUGCGUGAGAUACAUCCUAAAGUGGAAAAUUGCAACCCGAAGGGUGCGAGAAAGCAGCAAGCUGAGAAAAUUACGCAUACGCCACGCUGCCAGAUGGCAGAUGCCAAGGUACUGCGAUGAGAUGAAACGCUUUCCCAUCUUCGUAUUUGUCAUUUUAAUUAGAGCGUGGUGCAGGUGCACCGCUUUUGGGGGAAAGGGCAAAGGGGAAGGAAAAUAUUCUAGCUAUGUGCGAGAAAUGCUUUCGAACACAAAUUGGCCAGCGCAAUCUGGCUUCCUCAAAUGAUAGGGCCCCAUUAUAGGCCCAAUUUACAUAAUACAUGAGCUGAGAAAUUUAAGCGGGGCUGAAAAUAAAACUAAUAUGGGGUCAUUGCUCGCCGACUUGGAUCAGUGAUAGUUGAGUGGGAGUCCGCCAAAGGUUGACUUACAUAAGUCGGCCAUUGAGCCACCAAAAGCCAAUUAGG
This is a long non-coding RNA of Drosophila subpulchrella, 893 nucleotides long. RefSeq lists it as uncharacterized. The transcript has 3 exons. The record is from RefSeq and is a predicted model, not a curated record. Lineage: Eukaryota; Metazoa; Arthropoda; Insecta; Diptera; Drosophilidae.